GCUUACACAUGCAAGUCGAGCGGUAACAGAGAUAGCUUGCUAUCUGCUGACGAGCGGCGGACGGGUGAGUAAUGCUUGGGAAUAUGCCUUUGAGUGGGGGACAACAGUUGGAAACGACUGCUAAUACCGCAUAACGUCUACGGACCAAAGGGGGGGAUGCUUCGGCACCUCUCGCUCAUUGAUUAGCCCAAGUGAGAUUAGCUAGUUGGUAAGGUAAUGGCUUACCAAGGCGACGAUCUCUAGCUGGUUUGAGAGGAUGAUCAGCCACACUGGGACUGAGACACGGCCCAGACUCCUACGGGAGGCAGCAGUGGGGAAUAUUGCACAAUGGGCGAAAGCCUGAUGCAGCCAUGCCGCGUGUGUGAAGAAGGCCUUCGGGUUGUAAAGCACUUUCAGCGAGGAGGAAAGGUUAGUAGUUAAUAGCUGCUAGCUGUGACGUUACUCGCAGAAGAAGCACCGGCUAACUUCGUGCCAGCAGCCGCGGUAAUACGAGGGGUGCAAGCGUUAAUCGGAAUUACUGGGCGUAAAGCGUGCGUAGGUGGUUUGUUAAGCAAGAUGUGAAAGCCCCGGGCUCAACCUGGGAACUGCAUUUUGAACUGGCAAACUAGAGUUUUGUAGAGGG
This 622-nucleotide ribosomal RNA is filed under the name uncultured bacterium. RNAcentral's name for it is "bacterial SSU rRNA". It matches the Rfam family "Bacterial small subunit ribosomal RNA", at positions 46 to 658 of the family's 1533-position model. The record is from RNAcentral.